UCGAGCGAGCAGAACCAGCAGAUUUACUUCGGUAAUGACGCUGGGAAAGCGAGCGGCGGAUGGGUGAGUAACACGUGGGGAACCUGCCCCAUAGUCUGGGAUACCACUUGGAAACAGGUGCUAAUACCGGAUAAGAAAGCAGAUCACAUGAUCAGCUUUUAAAAGGCGGCGUAAGCUGUCGCUAUGGGAUGGCCCCGCGGUGCAUUAGCUAGUUGGUAAGGUAAUGGCUUACCAAGGCAAUGAUGCAUAGCCGAGUUGAGAGACUGAUCGGCCACAUUGGGACUGAGACACGGCCCAAACUCCUACGGGAGGCAGCAGUAGGGAAUCUUCCACAAUGGACGCAAGUCUGAUGGAGCAACGCCGCGUGAGUGAAGAAGGUUUUCGGAUCGUAAAGCUCUGUUGUUGGUGAAGAAGGAUAGAGGUAGUAACUGGCCUUUAUUUGACGGUAAUCAACCAGAAAGUCACGGCUAACUACGUGCCAGCAGCCGCGGUAAUACGUAGGUGGCAAGCGUUGUCCGGAUUUAUUGGGCGUAAAGCGAGCGCAGGCGGAAGAAUAAGUCUGAUGUGAAAGCCCUCGGCUUAACCGAGGAACUGCAUCGGAAACUGUUUUUCUUGAGUGCAGAAGAGGAGAGUGGAACUCCAUGUGUAGCGGUGGAAUGCGUAGAUAUAUGGAAGAACACCAGUGGCGAAGGCGGCUCUCUGGUCUGCAACUGACGCUGAGGCUCGAAAGCAUGGGUAGCGAACAGGAUU
This 750-nucleotide ribosomal RNA is filed under the name uncultured bacterium. RNAcentral describes it as "bacterial SSU rRNA". It matches the Rfam family "Bacterial small subunit ribosomal RNA", at positions 62 to 779 of the family's 1533-position model. The record is from RNAcentral.